Molecule: non-coding RNA, 27 nt
Filed under: Homo sapiens (human)
Lineage: Eukaryota; Metazoa; Chordata; Mammalia; Primates; Hominidae
Source: RNAcentral
UAAGAUCCAGUGGCUUGAAAUUCUUGC